RNAcentral lists this ribosomal RNA (449 nucleotides) under uncultured bacterium. RNAcentral describes it as "partial 16S ribosomal RNA". It matches the Rfam family "Bacterial small subunit ribosomal RNA", at positions 354 to 796 of the family's 1533-position model. The record is from RNAcentral.
GUGGGGAAUCUUUCACAAUGGGGGCAACCCUGAUGGAGCGACGCCGCGUGGAGGAUAAGGUCUUCGGAUUGUAAACUCCUGUCAUGCGUGAACAAGGUUGCUUGGUUAAUACCUGGGCAAAUUGAUGGUAACGCAAGAGGAAGAGACGGCUAACUCUGUGCCAGCAGCCGCGGUAAUACAGAGGUCUCAAGCGUUGUUCGGAAUCACUGGGCGUAAAGGGUGCGUAGGUGGCGUGGUAAGUCAGAUGUGAAAGCCCGGGGCUCAACCUCGGAACUGCAUCCGAUACUGCCAUGCUAGAGUACUGGAGAGGUGACUAGAAUUCUCGGUGUAGCAGUGAAAUGCGUAGAUAUCGAGAGGAAUACCAAAGGCGUAGGCAGGUCACUGGACAGUUACUGACACUGAGGCACGAAGGCCAGGGGAGCGAACGGGAUUAGAAACCCUAGUAGUCC